RNAcentral lists this ribosomal RNA (396 nucleotides) under uncultured bacterium. RNAcentral describes it as "partial 16S ribosomal RNA". It matches the Rfam family "Bacterial small subunit ribosomal RNA", at positions 523 to 918 of the family's 1533-position model. The record is from RNAcentral.
AUACGAAGGGUGCAAGCGUUAAUCGGAAUUACUGGGCGUAAAGCGCGCGUAGGUGGUUCGUUAAGUUGGAUGUGAAAGCCCCGGGCUCAACCUGGGAACUGCAUCCAAAACUGGCGAGCUAGAGUAUGGCAGAGGGUGGUGGAAUUUCCUGUGUAGCGGUGAAAUGCGUAGAUAUAGGAAGGAACACCAGUGGCGAAGGCGACCACCUGGGCUAAUACUGACACUGAGGUGCGAAAGCGUGGGGAGCAAACAGGAUUAGAUCCCCUGGUAGUCCACGCCGUAAACGAUGUCGACUAGCCGUUGGGAUCCUUGAGAUCUUAGUGGCGCAGCUAACGCAUUAAGUCGACCGCCUGGGGAGUACGGCCGCAAGGUUAAAACUCAAAUGAAUUGACGGGG